UCGAUGAGAUCAUGAGCGGGUAUUAGCACCCGGUGCCACUUGAGCGAGUAUCGAUGAGAUCGUGAUACUAAGGUUACAUUGCGUAGUAUUUCAAGAUUAGCAUCACUUCACUAACAAUCAAUAUGGACGAGCAAUGCUUCAGAAUGACAAUAGAGGUUCGAACAAAGAAUACACAAGCUGAUCUGGCAUCACUAAGUUGAGGUAGAUGACCAAUGAUUCUAGCUAUCAAGUCACAGAUUCACAAUAGAGAUUCUAACACAGAUUUGGCAAUCCUGGAUACUUAUACACAAGUGCCCCCAUGCAGGGGUUUUGAUUGAGGACAAAUUGGUCUUGGGGAUUUCCAUCAAUUCUCUCUUGGGCAUUUCAUCAAACAGUUGGCAGGUGCUUGAUGCCAACGUUGAUUCCGAGGACCGGGGGGGGUUGUCUUCUUUUGGUUGAGAAGUUUUACAAUGCAAUGCCAAAAAUGUGUCAAGUCAAACAAGUAUAUCGAUGAGAUCAUGAGCGGGUAUUAGCACCCGGUGCCACUUGAGCGAGUAUCGAUGAGAUCGUGAUACUAAGGUUACAUUGCGUAGUAUUUCAAGAUUAGCAUCACUUCACUAACAAUCAAUAUGGACGAGCAAUGCUUCAGAAUGACAAUAGAGGUUCGAACAAAGAAUACACAAGCUGAUCUGGCAUCACUAAGUUGAGGUAGAUGACCAAUGAUUCUAGCUAUCAAGUCACAGAUUCACAAUAGAGAUUCUAACACAGAUUUGGCAAUCACUAUUCACUAAGUUGCCAACAAAAGCCAUAUUAUCUAACCAACCAAUAAUAUGGACGAGCAAUGCUUCAAACUCCAA
Molecule: long non-coding RNA, 836 nt
Filed under: Linum usitatissimum (flax)
Lineage: Eukaryota; Viridiplantae; Streptophyta; Magnoliopsida; Malpighiales; Linaceae
Description: long non-coding RNA (LUSI_LNC002823)
Source: RNAcentral